GUGCCAGCCGCCGCGGUAAUACAGAGGGUGCAAGCGUUGUUCGGAAUUAUUGGGCGUAAAGGGAGUGUAGGCGGCUUGUUAAGUCUUCUGUGAAAGCUGCGGGCUUAGCCUGCAAAGUGCAGAGGAAACUGGCGAGCUUGAGUGUCGGAGAGGAUAGGGGAAUACCCAGUGUAGAGGUGAAAUUCGUAGAGAUUGGGUGGAACACCAGUGGCGAAGGCGCCUGUCUGGCUGACAACUGACGCUGAGACUCGAAAGCAUGGGGAGCAAACAGGAUUAGAAACCCUGGUAGUCC
RNAcentral lists this ribosomal RNA (292 nucleotides) under uncultured bacterium. Its description in RNAcentral is "partial 16S ribosomal RNA". It matches the Rfam family "Bacterial small subunit ribosomal RNA", at positions 505 to 796 of the family's 1533-position model. The record is from RNAcentral.